AACGAACGCUGGCGGCAUGCCUAACACAUGCAAGUCGAACGAAGCCUUCGGGCUUAGUGGCGCACGGGUGCGUAACGCGUGGGAAUCUGCCCUGGGGUGCGGAAUAACUCGGAGAAAUCCGUGCUAAUACCGCAUAAUGUCUUCGGACCAAAGAUUUAUUGCCCUGGGAUGAGCCCGCGUAGGAUUAGCUAGUUGGUGAGGUAAAGGCUCACCAAGGCGACGAUCCUUAGCUGGUCUGAGAGGAUGAUCAGCCACACUGGGACUGAGACACGGCCCAGACUCCUACGGGAGGCAGCAGUGGGGGAAUAUUGGACAAUGGGCGAAAGCCUGAUCCAGCAAUGCCGCGUGAGUGAUGAAGGCCUUAGGGUUGUAAAGCUCUUUUACCCGGGAUGAUAAUGACAGUACCGGGAGAAUAAGCUCCGGCUAACUCCGUGCCAGCAGCCGCGGUAAU
Molecule: ribosomal RNA, 451 nt
Filed under: uncultured bacterium
Lineage: Bacteria
Description: bacterial SSU rRNA
Rfam family: Bacterial small subunit ribosomal RNA
Source: RNAcentral